AAUAUAUGGGAUUUUGAAUUUUUGCUUGCAACGUUUGACCACUCGUCUUAUUUAUUUUUUUUAAAAAAAUAUUAUUUAUUUUAUUUGUGACUUACUUUAUUAUCUACAGUACUUUAAGCACAACUUUUUGUUUUUUAUAUUUGCAAAAAAAAAAUUAAAUAAGACGAGUGGUCAAACGUUGCAAUCGAAAACUCA
This 195-nucleotide microRNA precursor is filed under the name Oryza sativa Japonica Group (Japanese rice). Its description in RNAcentral is "MIR812 microRNA precursor family". It matches the Rfam family "MIR812 microRNA precursor family". Lineage: Eukaryota; Viridiplantae; Streptophyta; Magnoliopsida; Poales; Poaceae. The record is from Rfam by way of RNAcentral.